This 564-nucleotide ribosomal RNA is filed under the name uncultured bacterium. RNAcentral describes it as "partial 16S ribosomal RNA". It matches the Rfam family "Bacterial small subunit ribosomal RNA", at positions 355 to 912 of the family's 1533-position model. The record is from RNAcentral.
UGGGGAAUUUUGGACAAUGGGCGAAAGCCUGAUCCAGCAAUGCCGCGUGUGUGAAGAAGGCCUUCGGGUUGUAAAGCACUUUUGUCCGGAAAGAAAUCCUUGGCUCUAAUACAGUCGGGGGAUGACGGUACCGGAAGAAUAAGCACCGGCUAACUACGUGCCAGCAGCCGCGGUAAUACGUAGGGUGCAAGCGUUAAUCGGAAUUACUGGGCGUAAAGCGUGCGCAGGCGGUUUGCUAAGACCGAUGUGAAAUCCCCCGGGCUCAACCUGGGAACUGCAUGGUGACUGGCAGGCUAGAGUAUGGCAGAGGGGGGUAGAAUUCCACGUGUAGCAGUGAAAUGCGUAGAGAUGUGGAGGAAUACCGAUGGCGAAGGCAGCCCCCUGGGCCAAUACUGACGCUCAUGCACGAAAGCGUGGGGAGCAAACAGGAUUAGAUACCCUGGUAGUCCACGCCCUAAACGAUGUCAACUAGUUGUUGGGGACUUCAUUUCCUUAGUAACGUAGCUAACGCGUGAAGUUGACCGCCUGGGGAGUACGUCGCAAGAUUAAAACUCAAAUGAAUUG